GGUGCUUUCAGGAGUUGCAAGGGGUUGUGGAUGGCAGCAUGUGGGGGCUUUUAUCAACCUGGCGGCCUUCUAUCUUUGUGGGAUUCCAGUGGCUGCAAUAUUGGGUUUCUGGGUGAAGUUAGGAGGUAUGGGCCUUUGGAUUGGAAUACUAGUUGGUGCCUUUACACAAACAAUUCUUCUUGCUGCUGUUACGAGCUGCUUAGAUUGGGAAAGACAGGCAAGCAUGGCAAGGGAAAGGUUGUUUGGAGGAAGAUCUUUGGUUGACAAUGGAAUAAUGUGAAUUAAAAGAUAUGGACUAAUACGGUAACAAAUACAAGGAAUGCAUGCUGAAUAAUUACCCAAAUACAAUUGAUGGACUAAUAUUGUAGUUGGGAUUGUAUAAUAUAUUGUAGUAUAAUAUAAUUUAGAA
Molecule: unclassified non-coding RNA, 409 nt
Filed under: Hevea brasiliensis (rubber tree)
Lineage: Eukaryota; Viridiplantae; Streptophyta; Magnoliopsida; Malpighiales; Euphorbiaceae
Source: RNAcentral